ACUGGGGGAUCAGCUCAUAGCGUAUAUUAAAGUUGUUGCAGUUAAAAAGCUCGUAGUUGAACUUCAGACCUGACCGGGCGGUCCGCCUAACGGUGUGUACUGUCUGGCCGGGCCUUACCUCUUGGUGAGCCGGCAUGCCCUUCACUGGGUGUGUCGGGGAACCAGGACCUUUACCUUGAGAAAAUUAGAGUGUUUAAAGCAGGCAAU
RNAcentral lists this ribosomal RNA (207 nucleotides) under uncultured fungus. RNAcentral describes it as "partial small subunit ribosomal RNA". It matches the Rfam family "Eukaryotic small subunit ribosomal RNA", at positions 573 to 788 of the family's 1831-position model. The record is from RNAcentral. Lineage: Eukaryota; Fungi.